This 1761-nucleotide unclassified non-coding RNA is filed under the name Drosophila mojavensis. RNAcentral's name for it is "GI16028". The record is from RNAcentral. Lineage: Eukaryota; Metazoa; Arthropoda; Insecta; Diptera; Drosophilidae.
GUUUUAUAUCAUCAUAAAAACUAAAACAAAAAGUCUUAAUUGAAUUGAAGUCGGUCUUGUUCUUUGAAAGCUAGCAAACGGUUACGGUACGAAGUAAAUAAUUAAAGACUUCCAUAUAUAUAUAGUGCGUUGCACUCCGCGACAAAUACCAUCGAGUUACGCAGAUAGUGGUUAAGGUGUGUGCAAUUUUUUGUCAUCUUUUUGUGGAGUGCAAUUUCUAGUAAAAUGGGAAAUUAAAGAGCUAAAGUGGCGUAAAAAUCAAUAAUUAGAGCUUCGACAAAAUACCAAGUAAGAGUGGAUUGUUUGCCCUUAUAAAAUAUCAGCUUUACAACCCACAUCGAAUACUGAAGGUAUAACAAAGCACAUAAAAAGUUAUAAAAAAAAGUACGAGAUAUUUGAAUUGGAAAUAAUUAUGCUAAACAGCGCCAAUAACAAUUUUGUGCAGCAUGCACAGGUGGUAUCUACAUCAACAGAGGGAAACAUGAACGGCUAUAAUCGAAAGUCUCCUCAAAAACGGCGGUAUGACAUGCCAAAAUAUGCUGUGCCACCAAAAAAGAAGUCAGGCAAGGAACGUGUACCGCAACCGAAAAAUACAGUAGCGAUGCUUAACGAACUGCGGCAUGGGCUGAUAUACAAAUUAGAGUCACAGACUGGUCCGGUGCAUGCGCCGCUAUUUACGAUCUCCGUUGAGGUUGAUGGACAGAAGUAUAUGGGACAAGGGCGUAGUAAAAAGGUUGCGCGUAUCGAGGCUGCAGCCACAGCGUUGCGCAGUUUUAUACAGUUCAAAGAUGGCGCAGUCUUGUCUCCCUUGAAGCCAGCAGGCAACUUGGAUUUUACAAGUGACGAACACCUUGAAAAUGGUAUUGAAAACGUGUCCAAAGCAGAAUUAGUCGAACUGAUUUACACGUUGAUGUUGCCUGAAAAGAAAUCCAACCUUACCUCGCUUGAACAAUCCACGUUGCGUCCACAAAUAUUUUGCAUGAGCCACAGCAAAUGCCACAAAGAGUACGAUUGCCGUAGAUGGCCAGAAAAAAGUACCAGAUAAAGGCCCCGUUAUGUUGUUGUACGAAUUAUUCAACGAUGUUAAUUUUGAAUGCAUGAACAUUGAUGGCGCUCAAAACAAUUGUCGUUUUAAAAUGACGGUCACUAUAAAUGAUAAAAAGUUCGAUGGCACAGGGCCCUCCAAGAAAUUGGCAAAGAAUGCUGCCGCGAAGGCUGCUUUAGCCUCUCUGUGCAAUAUAUCUUACAGUCCGAUGAUGGCACCACAGAAAAAUGCGCCGUUACCCAUUGACGAGAAGUCAUCGUCGAUGGAAUUACCACAAAUACAUGCGGAUACCAUUGGACGGUUGGUAUUGGAAAAAUUCAUGGAAGUGAUUAAGGGCCAGGAGGCGUAUUCUCGGCGAAAAGUUCUGGCAGGCAUAGUUAUGACAGAAAAUAUGAAUUUCUGCGAAGCUAAAGUAAUCUCAGUUUCAACCGGAACAAAAUGUGUUAGCGGAGAGCACAUGAGCGUAAAUGGGGCGGUGCUUAACGACUCGCAUGCUGAAAUAGUGUCCAGGCGUUGUCUUCUGAAAUACUUGUAUGCUCAACUUGAUCUUCAGUGUAAUCAGGCAACAGCAUAUCAGUCGAUUUUCGUGAGGAAUACAGACGGGCAAUACCCUUAUAAACUAAAAUCCGGGGUACAUUUCCAUUUGUAUAUAAAUACAGCACCAUGUGGGGAUGCACGGAUAUUUAGUCCUCACGAAAACGACACUGGUGUUGAUA